AGAGUUUGAUCCUGGCUCAGGACGAACGCUGGCGGCGUGCCUAACACAUGCAAGUCGAACGGAGUGAUUUCACGAAGGUCUUCGGAUUGGACGAGAUCACUUAGUGGCGGACGGGUGAGUAACGCGUGAGCAACCUGCCUUUCAGAGGGGGACAACGGUUGGAAACGACCGCUAAUACCGCAUAAUACAUUCUGGUCGCAUGAUUGGGAUGUCAAAGAUUUUAUCGCUGAAAGAUGGGCUCGCGUCUGAUUAGAUAGUUGGUGGGGCAACGGCCUACCAAGUCGACGAUCAGUAGCCGGACUGAGAGGUUGAACGGCCACAUUGGGACUGAGAUACGGCCCAGACUCCUACGGGAGGCAGCAGUGGGGAAUAUUGGGCAAUGGGGGCAACCCUGACCCAGCAACGCCGCGUGAAGGAAGAAGGCUUUCGGGUUGUAAACUUCUUUUACCAGGGACGAAGAACGUGACGGUACCUGGAGAAAAAGCCACGGCUAACUACGUGCCAGCAGCCGCGGUAAUACGUAGGUGGCAAGCGUUGUCCGGAAUUACUGGGUGUAAAGGGCGUGUAGGCGGAGCGGCAAGUCAGAAGUGAAAUCUCCGGGCUUAACCCGGAAACUGCUUUUGAAACUGUCGCCCUUGAGUAUCGGAGAGGCUGGCGGAAUUCCUAGUGUAGCGGUGAAAUGCGUAGAUAUUAGGAGGAACACCAGUGGCGAAGGCGGCCUGCUGGACGACAACUGACGCUGAGGCGCGAAAGCGUGGGGAGCAAACAGGAUUAGAUACCCUGGUAGUCCACGCCGUAAACGAUGGAUACUAGGUGUGGGGGGACUGACCCCUUCCGUGCCGCAGUAAACACAAUAAGUAUCCCA
RNAcentral lists this ribosomal RNA (865 nucleotides) under uncultured rumen bacterium. RNAcentral's name for it is "bacterial SSU rRNA". It matches the Rfam family "Bacterial small subunit ribosomal RNA", at positions 8 to 871 of the family's 1533-position model. The record is from RNAcentral.